Molecule: ribosomal RNA, 497 nt
Filed under: uncultured bacterium
Lineage: Bacteria
Description: partial 16S ribosomal RNA
Rfam family: Bacterial small subunit ribosomal RNA
Source: RNAcentral
GACGAACGCUGGCGGCGUGCCUAAUACAUGCAGGUCGAACGCUGAAGAGAGGAGCUUGCUCUUCUUGGAUGAGUUGCGAACGGGUGAGUAACGCGUAGGUAACCUGCCUUGUAGCGGGGGAUAACUAUUGGAAACGAUAGCUAAUACCGCAUAACAAUGGAUGACCCAUGUCAUUUAUUUGAAAGGGGCAACUGCUCCACUACAAGAUGGACCUGCGUUGUAUUAGCUAGUAGGUGAGGUAACGGCUCACCUAGGCGACGAUACAUAGCCGACCUGAGAGGGUGAUCGGCCACACUGGGACUGAGACACGGCCCAGACUCCUACGGGAGGCAGCAGUAGGGAAUCUUCGGCAAUGGGGGCAACCCUGACCGAGCAACGCCGCGUGAGUGAAGAAGGUUUUCGGAUCGUAAAGCUCUGUUGUAAGUCAAGAACGAGUGUGAGAGUGGAAAGUUCACACUGUGACGGUAGCUUACCAGAAAGGGACGGCUAACUACGUG